AGUGAACGCUGGCGGUAGGCCUAACACAUGCAAGUCGAACGGCAGCACAGUAAGAGCUUGCUCUUACGGGUGGCGAGUGGCGGACGGGUGAGGAAUACAUCGGAGUCUACUUUUUCGUGGGGGAUAACGUAGGGAAACUUACGCUAAUACCGCAUACGACCUACGGGUGAAAGCAGGGGAUCUUCGGACCUUGCGCGAUUGAAUGAGCCGAUGUCGGAUUAGCUAGUUGGCGGGGUAAAGGCCCACCAAGGCGACGAUCCGUAGCUGGUCUGAGAGGAUGAUCAGCCACACUGGAACUGAGACACGGUCCAGACUCCUACGGGAGGCAGCAGUGGGGAAUGUUGGACAAUGGGCGCAAGCCUGAUCCAGCCAGACCGCGUGGGAGAAGAAGGCCUUCGGUUUGUAAAGCCCUUUUGUUGGGAAAGAAAAGCAGCAGGUUAAUACCACGCUGUUCUGACGGUACCCAAAGAAUAAGCACCGGCUAACUUCGUG
This 492-nucleotide ribosomal RNA is filed under the name uncultured bacterium. Its description in RNAcentral is "partial 16S ribosomal RNA". It matches the Rfam family "Bacterial small subunit ribosomal RNA", at positions 29 to 507 of the family's 1533-position model. The record is from RNAcentral.